Oncorhynchus mykiss (rainbow trout) is the source of this 3108-nucleotide non-coding RNA. NCBI's taxonomy places the organism in Eukaryota, Metazoa, Chordata, Actinopteri, Salmoniformes, Salmonidae. The record is from RefSeq and is a predicted model, not a curated record.
CAGGCCUUAUUCCUAAAAUAAAAUCUCAAUUUCAGCUUCAAUUUUUUUGUAAGUUGUUGAAUAUGCAAUUUAAAAGAGAGGCCGUCAUCAAUUAAAAUCCCAAUAUAUUUAUGAGGUAACAACCUCAAUCUCCUUGCCAUUUUAUCUCCAAACGAGUUGAACAAAUUGUCUGAGAAGGUGUCCCGUCUGGAGAUCCAGCUGUAAAAUGAGGCUCGGCAGAAGCAGGAGGCCAUGGAGAAAGUGGAGACUUUCGAGAGGAGGGUUGCCGAACUGGAGAUGCAGUUAGAGAAGUUGCAAAUGCCCACUGAUGCACAGCUGGAAAACGAAGUUCAGCAGAACCAGGAGGCCAUGGAGAAAGGGGUGGUUUUUGAGAGCAGGGUUGCUGAACUAGAGAAGCGGAUAGAAGAAAAGUCACAAAUGCCUGCUGAUGCGCAGGAGGCCAUGGUGAAGGUGGUGACUUUUGAGAGGAGGGUUGCUGAACUGCAGAAGAUGCUAGAUUUCCACUGACUCACAGGAGCAGGUUGGCUAUCACCAAUGCCUUCUCACUGGUUUAUCGUGCAGAAUGUCAGAAAUCAUUUAAUCUAAAUGCAAAAAUGGUCCAACUGUCAUUCUUUACAGAUGAAAAGGGGAUUUGAGGAGACAAUUCAACUCUGAGACGUUGGUGUCUGAGAAGGAAAUGGCUGCUGCUGAGUGUGAUUAUCUCAAGCAGGAGCUCAACAUUCUAAUGGGAUGGACUAAAAACUUGAAGAAAAGGCUGCACUUCUUCAGGAGAUGGAGGAGAAGAAAGAGAUGGAUGAGUUCAAUUUUCUGGAAGAGGAGAGCAAAAGAGAACGAGAAAGAACUACUGAAUGAAAUGUCCUUAAAGAAGGCUGUGGAGGCAUCUAGAUGCAAAUCUCAAGAGCUUGAGGCUAAUCUGGUGGCAAUGUCAGAGGAGCUGAAAAAGAAAGAUGACUGGGCAGAGGAACUACAAAGAUCGAGUGACAUUGACUUGGUCCAACAAAUGAAGCAGCUGCGACGCACUCUGGACGAUGCUGAGGGACUGAGCUGUGACACUAAGAAGGAGUGGGCCCACCUGCGCAGUGAAAAUAUCUCACUCAAAGAGAGGGAUGUGUCUUCAACCUCAGUGUCAGUUUGCAGCCUGUAUUUAAAUGCAAACUGCGCUCAAUGGAUUGACCAUUAUCGUGUUGCAUUAGCUUUAACUCUAUGCCUUGGCCUAGCUUUCAUGUCACACUAACUGCUGGCUAUGAGAGGAUGGAAGCUGAGGGGAAUGGCCUUAGCUAUCAGUUGGAGACAGAAAAAUCACGCUUCAAAAAGAUGCAGGUUGACCUUCAGAGGGAGUUACAGGGAGCCUUUGAGGAGAACACCAAGCUUACUACUCUCCUGGAUGGAAAAGCUCCGAAAAAUCUCAUAGACAGCAUUGAACUUGAGAAAAAAAGUUACUGACCUGAAGAAAGAGCUGGAGAAGUCUCAUGAAGAUGAGAAAACCCUACAAGCUAAGAUCAAGGAUUUGAGUCCACUGCAGGAUCUUCCAGAUAAAGUGGACAGUUUGAUGAAGCAGGUAUAUGUCCUCAAUGAGGAGUUGUGUGCAGUCCAAAUAGCGAGGGAGAGCCUGGGUGUCUGCUAAGGAGGAAGCUCAGCAACUCAGAACAUUUCCAGAGCUCCCAGGAGCAGCAAGUCAAACUGCUAGAUGACCUGAGUGAAGCAAAGUUGAGGGAAAACGACCUAACCCAUCAGUAAAUCGACAUCACUGAACAACUGGAGACUCUCCGUAAGGACUUGGUGUGCUCGUCUGUGGAGAACAGUCAGCUUCUUACUACUGUGGAAGAGUCCAGCCUGAAAAUAAGGCAACUGUGAGGAGCUUGAGUCUGCGAUCUGAGUGAGAUAAUCUCCUGUCUGAGAAGACAGACAGUCCUCAGAAUCAUGCAGAGGAGUUGGUGCUCUCUACUGUGACCUCCCUGACUGAAGAGAGAGACCAGCUCCAGGAGAUACUGGGUGGAGUCAGAGAGGAGAGGAACCAGCUGAAGAGAGACCUGGAGGAGAAUGUGGAGAUGGUCCAGGCAGAGCUAAAACGGCAACAUCUGAACUCAGAACAGCAGACGUGGCCAACAAGAUGAUCAACUUCAGCAACAAGUCAGUGCCAGUGUCUUUUAUACGAGAAGCAGCUGAGUGAGGAGCUUGAGUCUGUGUGAGCUGAGCGAGAGUGUCUUCUGUCUGAGAAUACAGACAGCCCUCAGAAUCAUGCAGAGGAGUUGGAGAAGCUGCUCUCUACUGUGACCUCACUAACUGAAGAGAGAGACCAGGUCCUGGAGAUACUGGGGGAAGUCAGAGAGGAGAGGAACCAGCUCAAGAGAGACUUGGAGGAGAAUGUAGAAAUGAACAUCAAGAAGCUCAACUUCAGCAACAAAUACAGCAGCUAGGAGAGGAACAGGAAACCAUGACAGAGGAGAGGCGUCAGUUGAAGGGUGACCUGCAGGAAAAAUAUGGAGAUGGCUGAAGAAACCCAGGGACUUCCCUUGGAUGGAAUGGAGGAGCUCUGACAACAGAGCCAACUGAACUCUGACCUUGAGAGGCAAAGUUUACAGAAGGAGUCUAUUCUAGAACUGCAGCUAAGCAGCUGAGAGAGGAGGUUGAAUCAUUGCAAGCUGAGAGAGAGCAUCUCCUGUCUGAGAAGACCGAUAGCCCUCAGAAUCAUACAAAUUAGUUGGAGAAGCUGCUCUCCACUGUGACCUCACUGACUGAAGAGAGAGACCAGCUCCAGGAGAUGCUGGGGGGAGUCACAGAGGAGAGAAACCAGCUCAAGAGGGACCCUGAGUAGAAUGUGGAGAUGAUUAUUUGAAAACCAGGAGGAGCUGAUUCACCAUCAAGAGGAAAAUAUUAAACAUAUGGAUACUGCACAUCUGUUACAUCUAGUUGAACUGCAAAGUCAGAAGUCAACAAAUGAGAGCGCCUGGGUUAACCUCUACAUCACCCAAGGAACAGAGAAGGAGUAGGAUGAGGGUAUCCGGCAAAAGGGAAGAACAGCCGAGAGCUGCCAGUGGCACGAGCGUACCAGACAAGGCCGCGGGGCCAGAUGGAUUACCAGAACGUGUAGUACAAGCAUGCGUUAAC